GGAUGUGAGGGCGAUCUGGCUGCGACAUCUGUCACCCCAUUGAUCGCCAGGGUUUAUUCGGCUGAUCUGGCUGGCUAGGCGGGUGUCCCCGUCCUCCCUCACCGCUCCAUGUGCGUCCCUCCCGAAGCUGCGCGCUCGGUCGAAGAGGACGACCUUCCCCAAUAGAGGGUAUAGGAGUAGCUGCGCUCCCCUGCUAGAACCUCCAAACAAGCUCUCAAAAUGCUGUCCCCUAAAAAGACCAGUGUACACAGUCUUUGUGGUAAACAAGAUAUUAGAAAGAACUUAGAAUAAUAAUUGCACAGCUCUAUUUCCUGCAGAUUAAAGAUUG
This 328-nucleotide small nuclear RNA is filed under the name Neogale vison (American mink). Its description in RNAcentral is "Neovison vison (American mink) 7SK RNA (ENSNVIG00000011352.1)". It matches the Rfam family "7SK RNA". Rfam says of the family: 7SK was discovered as an abundant small nuclear RNA in the mid-70s but a possible function has only recently been suggested. The record is from Rfam by way of RNAcentral. Lineage: Eukaryota; Metazoa; Chordata; Mammalia; Carnivora; Mustelidae.